RNAcentral lists this ribosomal RNA (508 nucleotides) under uncultured bacterium. RNAcentral's name for it is "partial 16S ribosomal RNA". It matches the Rfam family "Bacterial small subunit ribosomal RNA", at positions 28 to 523 of the family's 1533-position model. The record is from RNAcentral.
GAUGAACGCUAGCUACAGGCUUAACACAUGCAAGUCGAGGGGAAACGACAUUGAAAGCUUGCUUUUGAUGGGCGUCGACCGGCGCACGGGUGAGUAACGCGUAUCCAACCUGCCCACCACUUGGGGAUAACCUUGCGAAAGUAAGACUAAUACCCAAUGAUAUCUCUAGAAGACAUCUGAAAGGGAUUAAAGAUUUAUCGGUGAUGGAUGGGGAUGCGUCGUAUUAGCUUGUUGGCGGGGUAACGGCCCACCAAGGCGACGAUCAGUAGGGGUUCUGAGAGGAAGGUCCCCCACAUUGGAACUGAGACACGGUCCAAACUCCUACGGGAGGCAGCAGUGAGGAAUAUUGGUCAAUGGACGAGAGUCUGAACCAGCCAAGUAGCGUGCAGGAUGACGGCCCUAUGGGUUGUAAACUGCUUUUAUAAGGGAAUAAAGUGAGUCUCGUGAGACUUUUUGCAUGUACCUUAUGAAUAAGGACCGGCUAAUUCCGUGCCAGCAGCCGCCGUAA